CUUAAGAUGUGCUGUGCUAGCUUCCUUAGGCUUCAUCUUCCACGACACGCUUUUCGAUCCCCACUUGUCCACCAAUGAGAUCUCCUUAUGGCUUAUCUUUAAAGCCAAAAACAAAAACAAAAACAAAAACUCAGAAUAAGUAAAAACUAAAAAGGCCAUUAUUAAAGCUCUUCCCAGACAACAAAUCUUCCCCUUCCAUUUCAUGGCCAAUUCCACCCAAACUUUCAUCACUGACACUACCAACAAAAACCCCACCAAACGUCGAAAGCUAAUUACAGGCCACCACCGCCACCUAGAACAGCCUCUCAUACCAGGUCUCCCUAACGACAUAGCCCAGUUUUGUCUCUCCCUUGUUCACCCUUCAACUCUUUACACUGUUUGCCACGCAUGGCGUCGCCUAAUCUAUUCCCCUUCUUUCCCUCCUUUCUUCUCUUUGUAUGCAGUGCUAUCAUCAACGAAUACAAACCAUAACCUUCCUGAUAAUAAUUCAAUCCAAUUCUUUAACUUUGACCCCAUUUCUUCGCGGUGGGAUUCUCUCCCUCCUCCACCACCAGAUCCGCCACUCCAUCUCAUCCUUCGCCACCCUUCCUUUAUCUCCCGUGACCUUCCUAUCCAAACCAUCUCCGCCUCUGAUCGCUUGGUACUUCUUGCUGCUACUUCUCACAGUUUUUCACCCGCUCUCUCUCGCCCUCUUGUUUUCAAUCCAUUUUCAGGCUCAUGGGCCUUUGGUCCUCCCCUCGCCACACCUCGCCGCUGGUGUGCUGCUGGCUCGGCACAUGGCACGGUCUAUGUGGCGAGUGGGAUCGGAUCCCAAUACAACACAGAUGUGGCCAAGUCAUUGGAGAAGUGGGAUUUGCAAAACAACAAAGCCAUGAUCUCCAACAUCUGCAAUAAAACAACCACAUGGAAAUGGGUAAAGGUUAAAGAACUGAAAAAUGGGAGAUUUAGUAGGGAUGCUAUUGAUGCAGUAGGAUGGAGAGGGAAACUUUGUAUGGUGAAUAUGAAGGGAGAUGCAGCUAAAGAAGGGAUUGUUUAUGACACUGAGAAGGACACAUGGGAGAACAUGCCAGAGGGUAUGGUUGCAGGGUGGAGAGGACCCGUGGCAGCCAUGGACGAGGAGGUUAUGUAUGUGGUGGAUGAAGCCAAAGGUGUGCUUAGAAAAUAUGAUCCAGAAAGGGAUUGCUGGGAGCAUAUAAUGGAGUCAGAAAGGCUUAUUGGAGCACAACAGAUUGCUGCUGGUGGCGGUAGAGUUUGUGUUACUUGCGGCGGGAGUACUGAGCUUGUGGUGCUAGAUGUGGUGGCGCUUCCGGUGAGACUAUGGAUGGUGGAAACGCCACCGGGAUUUGAAGCCUUUCGGAUUCAUAUAUUGCCAAGGAUAAGCCGGCCAGAUAAUUGAUUUCCUGGUAUCGAGGAGGGGCCAUAAGAGUUGUGUAGCAACAUGAAGCGUCAACAGUAGGUCUAUCACAUUCAUGCUAGGAGUGAUUCUUGUUUUAUCUCAUCUUUUAUUAUCUGGACGAGGAAUGUUAUAUCUGUAUUUUGAAAACAUUUUGAAUUUUAGGUAACUUGUAAUGUAAUAAUAAACUUUUGAUUUUAGAGAAAUUAAAUUAUA
Populus euphratica (Euphrates poplar) is the source of this 1609-nucleotide RNA transcript. It is a transcript of the gene named F-box/kelch-repeat protein SKIP25-like, with no coding region annotated. NCBI's taxonomy places the organism in Eukaryota, Viridiplantae, Streptophyta, Magnoliopsida, Malpighiales, Salicaceae. The record is from RefSeq and is a predicted model, not a curated record. The transcript has 3 exons.